This 449-nucleotide ribosomal RNA is filed under the name uncultured bacterium. Its description in RNAcentral is "SSU rRNA". It matches the Rfam family "Bacterial small subunit ribosomal RNA", at positions 26 to 518 of the family's 1533-position model. The record is from RNAcentral.
AGAACGAACGCUGGCGGCAGGCUUAACACAUGCAAGUCGAACGCUCGUAGCAAUACGGGAGUGGCAGACGGGUGAGUAACGCGUGGGAACAUACCCUCCGGUUCGGAAUAGCUCAGGGAAACUUGGAUUAAAUACCGGAUACGGCCGAGAGGCGAAAGAUUUAUCGCCGGAGGAUUGGCCCGCGUUCGAUUAGCUAGUUGGUGAGGUAACGGCUCACCAAGGCGAUGAUCGAUAGCUGGUCUGAGAGGAUGAUCAGCCACAUUGGGACUGAGACACGGCCCAAACUCCUACGGGAGGCAGCAGUGGGGAAUAUUGGACAAUGGGCGCAAAGCCUGAUCCAGCCAUGCCGCGUGAGUGAUGACGGCCUUAGGGUUGUAAAGCUCUUUCGCUCGGGACGAUAAUGACGGUACCGAGAUAAGAAGCCCGGCUAACUUCGCGCCAGCAGCCGC